The sequence is a ribosomal RNA, 437 nucleotides long. It matches the Rfam family "Bacterial small subunit ribosomal RNA", at positions 341 to 792 of the family's 1533-position model.
ACGGAAGGCAGCAGUGGGGAAUAUUGGGCAAUGGGCGAAAGCCUGACCCAGCAACGCCGCGUGUAGGAAGAAGGUCUUCGGAUUGUAAACUUCUUUUAUAAGGGACGAAGAAAGUGACGGUACCUUAUGAAUAAGCCACGGCUAACUACGUGCCAGCAGCCGCGAUAAUACGUAGGUGGCAAGCGUUAUCCGGAUUUACUGGGUGUAAAGGGCGCGUAGGCGGGGAUGCAAGUCAGAUGUGAAAUCUAUGGGCUCAACUCAUAAACUGCAUUUGAAACUGUAUCUCUUGAGUGCUGGAGAGGUAGAUGGAAUUCCUUGUGUAGCGGUGAAAUGCGUAGAUAUAAGGAAGAACACCAGUGGCGAAAGCGAUCUACUGGACAGUAACUGACGCUGAGGCGCGAGAGCGUGGGGAGCAAACAGGAUUAGAUACCCUGGUA